This 229-nucleotide non-coding RNA is filed under the name Bacillus sp. (in: firmicutes). RNAcentral's name for it is "Bacillus sp. T-box sequence". It matches the Rfam family "T-box leader". From Rfam's summary of the family: Uncharged tRNA acts as the effector for transcription antitermination of genes in the T-box leader family. T-boxes are found upstream of many aminoacyl-tRNA synthetase genes and some amino acid biosynthetic genes usually in Gram-positive bacteria. The anticodon of a specific tRNA base pairs to a specifier sequence within the T-box motif, and the NCCA acceptor tail of the tRNA base pairs to a conserved bulge in the T-box antiterminator hairpin. The record is from RNAcentral. Lineage: Bacteria; Bacillati; Bacillota; Bacilli; Caryophanales; Bacillaceae.
GAACAUACAUUGACAGGGAAGAGUAAAGCCGAAAGCUGUUUUUAGAGAGAGAAAUCAUUUGCUGAAAGAUUUCUUAAACAAGCUCGCUUGAAGGUCGCCCUCGAGUAAUUCUCUUGAACUUGAAGUAGAGAGAAUCGGCAUGAACGCCGUUAUCCCAUUUGAGAGCAUAGGCUUAUUUUCGCCUAUGAAAAAAGGUGGCACCGCGAAAUCAACUCCUUUCGUCCUUUUA